This 253-nucleotide ribosomal RNA is filed under the name uncultured prokaryote. Its description in RNAcentral is "partial 16S ribosomal RNA". It matches the Rfam family "Bacterial small subunit ribosomal RNA", at positions 524 to 776 of the family's 1533-position model. The record is from RNAcentral.
AACGUAGGAGACGAACGUUAUCCGGAGUUACUGGGCGUAAAGGGCGUGCAGGCGGUCUGAUAAGUUCGGCGUGAAAUAUUCCGGCUUAACCGGGAUAGGUCGUCGGAGACUGUCGGACUAGAGGGCGAUAGAGGCGUGUGGAAUUCCGGGUGUAGUGGUGAAAUGCGUAGAGAUCCGGAGGAACACCAGUGGCGAAGGCGACACGCUGGGUCGCACCUGACGCUAAAACGCGACAGCAUGGGGAGCGAACGGG